Molecule: unclassified non-coding RNA, 238 nt
Filed under: Exserohilum turcicum
Lineage: Eukaryota; Fungi; Ascomycota; Dothideomycetes; Pleosporales; Pleosporaceae
Description: partial internal transcribed spacer region
Rfam family: Eukaryotic small subunit ribosomal RNA (bases 1-46)
Source: RNAcentral
AAGUCGUAACAAGGUCUCCGUAGGUGAACCUGCGGAGGGAUCAUUACACAAUACAAUAUGAAGGCUGUCCGCAGCUGGAGUAUUUUAUUACCCUUGUCUUUUGCGCACUUGUUGUUUCCUGGGCGGGUUCGCUCGCCACCAGGACCACCAAAUAAACCUUUUUAAUGCAGUUGCAAUCAGCGUCAGUACAAACAAUGUAAAUCAUUUACAACUUUCAACAACGGAUCUCUUGGUUCUG